UGUUGAUUUAUGAUAGAACUAUCAGUGGAGUACAACUCUAUAAUCACUGAUAUGAACCUGAAUACAAAGGUCAUGAAGUGGGGGCCCAAUAAUGCAGAAGAAGGAAAUCCUCUUCUAGCUGGUCCUGCAGGAUUUAUCACAGCACCUCUAUGGUCCUCUCUUGCCUGUUAAGUCUCUCUAUAAAGGGCACUCUAUAAAGGGUGAAUGGAAGAGUGAGUGGUCUGGCCUCACUGUAGCACCCUCUGUAACAUGAGGAGUCCAGGAGCCAGUGGAAAGUUGAAGCUAAUCUGGUGUGAACCAAUGUGGCUAUAUCUUCUGCAGGUAGAGGUCAGUGAGCCACUCUGUUUAUUUUCUUGCAGAAGCCAUAGAAGUCCAGCAGUGGGAAUUGAGAAAAUCAUCGAACACUGUUGCUCCUGUGGUCGAUGUAUUAUUUUUAGCGCCACCAACAUCUUCCUAUGAAGAAGAUUAUUAUCCACCCAUAAAAAGAAAGAAGAGGAAAAAGAGGAGGCGCUACUACUAAUUAAAAGCCUCCAUUAUUACUCCAGUAAGUACACCACACUCAGACUCUUCAGGAACUUGAAAAGCAUUGAAAUGGGUUAGGGGGAGUGCACAGAGAAACAGAAACAGAGGCAGACGUU
Molecule: long non-coding RNA, 638 nt
Filed under: Mus spicilegus (steppe mouse)
Lineage: Eukaryota; Metazoa; Chordata; Mammalia; Rodentia; Muridae
Description: lncRNA (ENSMSIG00000007431.1)
Source: RNAcentral